Molecule: long non-coding RNA, 606 nt
Organism: Astatotilapia calliptera (eastern happy)
Lineage: Eukaryota; Metazoa; Chordata; Actinopteri; Cichliformes; Cichlidae
Source: Ensembl
CAGGUUUCUUCUUGGCAUGAGAUAGUUGUUGAACUUGCCGUAUUUGUAAGCAAUGGCGUCACAGCGGCGCGACAAAGGCUGUCCAAAUUAGAAGAGUCCUCCAAAUGUGGCGACAAAUGCGUCCUUCAUUUCCCCGAAUUUGAACGAUGGGUCAGGUGUAUCCUUCAUGUCCUACCAUAUCCCAAGAUUCAUUGCGGUCAUACAGGAGGCUUUUUUUGAUAACGAUGGUGGCCAAUGCCGGAGAGGAAAACACUUUCAGUUAACCAACUGAUUCUGCAGCAGAGCAUCGCCUGUUGCUUCUCCUGGCUCCCCAGUCCCUGAGCUCCUGCUGCACCCACAGAGCUCUACAGCAGAGAGGGAAGUUCCAGCGCUCCUGGAAUCCCUCUGUGAUGGACCGCCAGUCUCCAGGUGAAGGCACAGCCAUGAAGUCGUCCACUAGACAGUCCCAGAUGGCCGUCGCUACCUGGGGGGUGAUCUGGCACACCGACUCUGAAACUGAACGCGAUGGUCCUAAAGGAGUCCCCGGUGGCAAGGAACCUGGACAAAAUUGUUCAAAAUUAGUAUUAUGUGUACUGCAGUUACAAAAUACAUGAUUCAAAUUCCAAA